AGCAGCCGCGGUAAUUCCAGCUCCAAUAGCGUAUAUUAAAGUUGUUGCAGUUAAAAAGCUCGUAGUUGAAUUUCGGGAUUGGCGCAUCGGUCGUGCCUCACGGGGUAUGAACUGGUGCAGUCAAUUUCUCACCUUCUGGAGAACCGCGAUGUCCUUAAUUGGAUGCCGCGGGGAACCAGGACCUUUACUUUGAAAAAAUUAGAGUGUUUAAAGCAGGCAUUUUUGCUUGAAUACAUUAGCAUGGAAUAAUAAAAUAGGACGGCAUGGUUCUAUUUUGUUGGUUUCUAGGACCACCGUAAUGAUUAAUAGGGAUAGUUGGGGGCAUUAGUAUUCAAUUGUCAGAGGUGAAAUUCUUGGAUUUAUUGAAGACUAACUACUGCGAAAGCAUUUGCCAAGGAUGUUUUCAUUAAUCAAGAACGAAAGUUAGGGAUCGAAGACGAUCAGAUACCG
RNAcentral lists this ribosomal RNA (450 nucleotides) under uncultured Glomeromycotina. RNAcentral describes it as "SSU rRNA". It matches the Rfam family "Eukaryotic small subunit ribosomal RNA", at positions 569 to 1017 of the family's 1831-position model. The record is from RNAcentral. Lineage: Eukaryota; Fungi; Glomeromycota.